RNAcentral lists this transfer RNA (80 nucleotides) under Anguilla anguilla (European eel). RNAcentral describes it as "tRNA-OTHER". The record is from RNAcentral. Lineage: Eukaryota; Metazoa; Chordata; Actinopteri; Anguilliformes; Anguillidae.
GGCAGUGUAGCAUAGCGGGUUAAGGAACUGGGCUUGUAACCGAAAGGUCAUAGGUUCGAUUCCUGGGUAGGACACCGCCG